GCAGUAGCUCAGUAUGAAAGCAUCUGCCUUAGGUGCAGAAGGUUCAGAGUUCAAUCCCUGGCAUCUCCA
Podarcis lilfordi (Lilford's wall lizard) is the source of this 69-nucleotide non-coding RNA. NCBI's taxonomy places the organism in Eukaryota, Metazoa, Chordata, Lepidosauria, Squamata, Lacertidae. The record is from the annotation of a GenBank genome assembly.